RNAcentral lists this ribosomal RNA (148 nucleotides) under uncultured bacterium. Its description in RNAcentral is "partial 16S ribosomal RNA". It matches the Rfam family "Bacterial small subunit ribosomal RNA", at positions 338 to 503 of the family's 1533-position model. The record is from RNAcentral.
CCUACNCGANGCAGCAGUGGGGAAUAUUGGACAAUGGGCGAAAGCCUGAUCCAGCAAUGCCGCGUGAGUGAUGAAGGCCUUAGGGUUGUAAAGCUCUUUUACCAGGGAUGAUAAUGACAGUACCUGGAGAAUAAGCACCGGCUAACUC